RNAcentral lists this ribosomal RNA (253 nucleotides) under uncultured bacterium. Its description in RNAcentral is "partial 16S ribosomal RNA". It matches the Rfam family "Bacterial small subunit ribosomal RNA", at positions 524 to 776 of the family's 1533-position model. The record is from RNAcentral.
UACGGAGGGGGCAAGCGUUGUUCGGAAUCACUGGGUGUAAAGGGUGCGUAGGCGGUCCGUUAAGUCUGAUGUGAAAUCCCUCGGCUCAACCGGGGAACUGCGUCCGAUACUGGCGGGCUUGAAUUCGGGAGAGGGAUGUGGAAUUCCAGGUGUAGCGGUGAAAUGCGUAGAUAUCUGGAGGAACACCGGUGGCGAAGGCGGCAUCCUGGACCGACAUUGACGCUGAGGCGCGAAAGCCAGGGGAGCAAACGGG